UGAUCAUAGUUUAUUUUGGUGUAAGCAUUAAAGGGCAAUGCAUACCAAAUCCAAAUGUUACCCCAGGACCAAAUGAUCCAGCAUUUCCAACAUUACCCGACGCUUUUUCAACACGAUUAGAAGCAAACUUGAAGGACUUGGGUGAAACCAUUACUGCGGAGAUAUACUAUGAUUAUGGUAAAAAUUUUGCAACAGUUAGAAAGACAUCAAAUGGAGGACAGACUACGACAUUGCUUGAUUAUAACAAUAAUCAGAUGUUCCUAGUAGAUACGUCUCAGCAUUGUGAAGUCCAGAACUUAAGCUCAAAUCUGGACACGGUUAUAUUUGGUACUGCAGCGAAAAGCGGCGGUGUUUCUCAUAUCCUUACAACGAAUGGAGUGUUGCACUUUAUGAAACAGAGC
Long non-coding RNA from Mytilus californianus (California mussel), 401 nucleotides. RefSeq lists it as uncharacterized. The record is from RefSeq and is a predicted model, not a curated record. Lineage: Eukaryota; Metazoa; Mollusca; Bivalvia; Mytilida; Mytilidae. The transcript is spliced from 3 exons.